CAUUUCUUCUAAUAAUCUUAUGAAUCUUCUGAUAAUGUAAGCCGUGUCCUCAUCUUCCUCGUUUGACUCCCCAUUUGUUGAUUCGGUGCCAAAUUCUUCUCAUUCUUUGGUUUAUUUCUUCCUUUUUCCUAUUUUUUUUAGCUCGUAAGUCUUCAAGUUUCCAAUUAGCUCAUCCAUGGUAAAGGUUUUGAGAUCUCUUGCUUCA
This 205-nucleotide long non-coding RNA is filed under the name Capsicum annuum. RNAcentral's name for it is "long non-coding RNA (CANN_LNC019555)". Lineage: Eukaryota; Viridiplantae; Streptophyta; Magnoliopsida; Solanales; Solanaceae. The record is from RNAcentral.